Molecule: non-coding RNA, 45 nt
Filed under: Schistosoma mattheei
Lineage: Eukaryota; Metazoa; Platyhelminthes; Trematoda; Strigeidida; Schistosomatidae
Source: RNAcentral
AUCCAGCUGAACAGUCCCAAAUAGGACGAAAUGCGCGUCCUGGAU